UCUUCUUUAGGAAUGGAGGAGCUCAUCCAUCUAUGAGGUGCUACAAAAGUAGCUGGAUUUGGGGAUUCAAGCAGAUGCAAAAAUCCAGGGUUGGCCAGAUCAAGGGUUCAGCUUGAGAGGGGGAAUAUUUAGGUCAGUACAGACACCUGAGUUCCCCAGUCCUCGAGGAACCAACAGGAUCGUGGGCAAGUUCCCCUGGCUGUUACUGGAGGGGUCGUUUUGGAAAUGCUUUAGGGCAGGGACCUCGGAUUGGAGCUGCAGGUGCUUCCAUCUGGACAUUUGGACACGUGGGACAGAAAUGGGGGAGCUGCUGGGUGAGACGGGCACUCAGAGUCCUCAAGAAAACAGGUGAGGGCUGCUGGCUGCUGCAGAAAGGGACCUCAGUGCCCUGGGUGUGGUCCCAGCCUGGCUGGCAAAUUGCUCCUGCCUGGGGCAGCCCCAUGCAGACAGGGCUGCACAACAAAGGAGCUGGGAGGGUUUGUGUUCAGCACUAAAACCCUUCCUGGCAGCAGCAGAAAGGCUGGAACCCAGCUCUGGAGAGCUCUGCUCGAGUCCUGGCCGCUGCAGC
Molecule: long non-coding RNA, 568 nt
Filed under: Ficedula albicollis (Collared flycatcher)
Lineage: Eukaryota; Metazoa; Chordata; Aves; Passeriformes; Muscicapidae
Description: lncRNA (ENSFALG00000026984.1)
Source: RNAcentral